AGCUAAGAUGGAAAUACUGAAAGAAAUGAGGCAUGUCGACAUCAGUGUCCGUUUCGGAAAAGACCUUUCAGAUGCUAUACAAGUGUUGGAUGAAGGGUGCUUUACUACUCCAGCUUCUUUGAAUGGAUUAGAGAUAAUAUGGGCAGAAUACAGUCUGGCUCAGGAGAAUAUUAAAACUUGUGAAUAUGUGAUCCUUGAGGAAUCGCCGUAUCGUCUUCCACAAUGGUUGAACUAAUUUACGUUCCCACCAACACUGUGAAAGUGUUCCUGUUUCUCCACAUCCUCUCCAGCAUCUAUUGUUUCCUGACUUUAAUGAUCAUCAUUCUAACUGAGUGAAGGGAAUAUUUUGAUUGCCCAAAGAAAUGAAAUGCAGCAGAAGCUGUACAUGUCAGUAGAAGAUUUUAUUCUGGAAGUUGAUGAGUCAUCUCUUAAUAAACGCUUAAAAACAUUGCAGGAUUUGUCAGUCUCUUUAGAAGCAGUGUAUGGACAAGCCAAAGAAGGAGCAAAUUCUGAUGAAAUACUUAAAAAAUUUUAUGACUGGAAGUGUGAUAAAAGAGAGGAGUUCACCGAUGUUAGAAGUGAAACAGACGCUUCUCUGCACCGUCUUGUAGCAUGGUUCCAAAGAACCUUAAAGGUUUUUGACCUAUCUGUGGAAGGAUCACUGAUUUCAGAAGACGCAAUGGAUAAUAUUGAUGAAAUCCUAGAGAAGACUGAGUCAAGUGUCUGCAAAGAGCUGGAGAUAGCUCUGGUUGAUCAAGGUGAUGCAGACAAGGAGAUAAUUUCAAAUACAUAUAGUCAAGUACUGCAAAAGAUUCAUUCAGAGGAAAGGCUCAUUGCCACAGUACAAGCUAAGUACAAGGACAGUAUUGAGUUUAAAAAGCAGCUUAUUGAAUAUUUAAAUAAGAGUCCCAGUGUGGAUCACUUGCUAUCCAUUAAGAAGACAUUGAAAAGCUUAAAAGCUCUACUCAGAUGGAAAUUGGUUGAAAAGAAUAAUUUGGA
This 999-nucleotide small RNA is filed under the name Pan troglodytes (chimpanzee). Its description in RNAcentral is "processed transcript". The record is from RNAcentral. Lineage: Eukaryota; Metazoa; Chordata; Mammalia; Primates; Hominidae.